AACAGUAGGAAAAAAGUAAGAGUGUUAAGUGUUCUUCUGAGAUCGGCUCUGUGUCGAAUUUGUUUUAAUGGAUUGCACCUGAUCCUACCCACCUGUUUUAAAUAGGCUGGACUGUGACGAUCAUUGAGCCUGCACACCGAGGAAGACUAUAGCUGAAACAUUUGGGGUUGGUACUGUGCAUGCUUUGGGGCAGAGGUGGUCACUGCUCACCAGCCUUCAGCCCCACACUAUCAAACACAAAAGACAUCCGACUGAAGGUUAAGCGACAGAGCUGAGAUCAAUCUACUGCACAGGACACAUCAUACCUAAUGCAACUCUGGCAGCCGAGGCGUCAUAAUUUAUCCAGAACGACACCCAGGAUAGGAUGGUGAUGAGGAUGGAGGGCAUGUACGUCUGCAGGAUGAAGUAUCCGAUGUUUCGCUUCAGCUUGAAGCUCAGAGACAGUCGAGGGUAGGCACCUGCAGGGAAACACAGCCAAAAGGAAAAAGCCCUUUUUAAUUCAAGAGCAACGAGGGGAUGUCUCGCACUUUGUUUUGGUUCCUAUGGCAAUGGCCUCACAAACUGGUUUCAUCACCAUGGAAACAAGCAAGCGUGGUGCAUAUUGCAAAGCAUCUUAUGACGUUAGCCUUGAGAUUAUGUGUGUGCAAACACUACAAUGCAGAGCAAAAUAUAAAACUGUUUUCACACACAUACACUGUUAAAAGGAACAGUUUGACACAACAGGGAGAAAACAGCUAGCAUUUCUGAGAUGUUGGGAGGCAGAUUUUGUUACCUUUGGACGGAGCCAGACUAGCUGUUUCCCCUGUGUCCAGUCUUUAUGCAAAGAUAAUAUUUAAGAUAAAGUUAAGCUAA
Molecule: long non-coding RNA, 852 nt
Organism: Sander lucioperca (pikeperch)
Lineage: Eukaryota; Metazoa; Chordata; Actinopteri; Perciformes; Percidae
Exons: 2
Source: RefSeq, a predicted model, not a curated record